CCUACGGGAGGCAGCAGUGGGGAAUAUUGGACAAUGGGGGGAACCCUGAUCCAGCCAUGCCGCGUGUGUGAAGAAGGCCCUCGGGUUGUAAAGCACUUUCAGUGAGGAAGAACGCCUGGUGGUUAAUACCCAUCAGGAAAGACAUCACUCACAGAAGAAGCACCGGCUAACUCCGUGCCAGCAGCCGCGGUAAUACGGAGGGUGCGAGCGUUAAUCGGAAUUACUGGGCGUAAAGCGCGCGUAGGUGGCUUGAUAAGCCGGUUGUGAAAGCCCCGGGCUCAACCUGGGAACGGCAUCCGGAACUGUCAAGCUAGAGUGCAGGAGAGGAAGGUAGAAUUCCCGGUGUAGCGGUGAAAUGCGUAGAGAUCGGGAGGAAUACCAGUGGCGAAGGCGGCCUUCUGGACUGACACUGACACUGAGGUGCGAAAGCGUGGGUAGCAAACAGGAUUAGAUACCCGGGUAGC
Molecule: ribosomal RNA, 464 nt
Filed under: Vreelandella stevensii
Lineage: Bacteria; Pseudomonadati; Pseudomonadota; Gammaproteobacteria; Oceanospirillales; Halomonadaceae
Description: partial 16S ribosomal RNA
Rfam family: Bacterial small subunit ribosomal RNA
Source: RNAcentral